CCCACUCUGUUAUCCCUGGAGUUGGCUUGGAUUCACCCUGAAGCCUUCCCCCUCCCGGGGAAAGUUGCUUCACGUUGCAGCUCAGCAGGUUUGUCCAGCUACAUAGGCUCCAGAAAACAAGAAGCAAGACUGGAAAGCUGGGGAUGAUUGUACGCCCUCGCCUGAAUCUUACGUGGUUCCUCCUUCUUCCACCUGGCCAGUGCAGAGCCGUGGGUGCCACGUGGCCACUUCUGGAUUGGGUUCCCCUUGGCCUGCCACCCUGUCCUUCUGCUUUCCCACUUUGCCAGCCAGAGUCAAUUUGAGGACGCCAAGUUCUCCUCUCCAUACAGAGCUCCUGGUCUCCUUGUAACUUGUAACUCCUGGGCACAGUUACAAGUGCUGAAUUCUUGCGAGGAUGAACUCAAGAUACAAAAUAUGCUUGGCAACUCACCCCUGAGUGGCCACAGGCACACGCAGGAGUCGAACCCACCCACCUCUGCUGACAGUCAUGGGUCAAGCUCAAAGUCCUGGCUGCUUCUCUGCUCAAGAUCUGUGCCCGCAGAGAGAGCCUGCUCCAGCCUCUUUGCUACAGCCUUGAGUCUUCUGCUAAGAAAAGACACAGAGGCAAAGAGAAACACAUAGAGAGGAGAAUGCCUCGUGAAAAUGGAGACCGAGAUUGGUGCAAUGUGUCCACAAGCCAGGGAAUGCCAACGUGGCCAGCAACCACCAGAAGCUGGGAGAGAGGCAUGGAACAGAGUCCUCGGAGCCUCCAGAAGGAACCAACCCUGUUGAUACCUUGACUGAAAACUUCCAGCCUCCAGAACUGUGACAGAAUUAAUUUCUGUUAUUUAAAGCCAUUCAGUCUGUGGUAAUUUGUUACAUCAGCCCUGAAUAGCAAAUACAGAUGACCCAGGUUUAAAUCCUAGUUCUGCCACUUAUGAGCGUGGGUACAUAACUACUUUCUAGAGCCCCGGUUUCCUCAUCUGUAAAAAACCUCAUACGGUUAUUAAGAAGAUCAAAUGAGAUACAAACAUAAAUUCUUAACAGUGCUGGCAUGUUAAUUGUUCAAUAAAUAUGAGUUAUUUACAACAAUUGUGAUAGUAAUGAGUAACACAGAGAAAUGAGAAUUGACUUAACAG
This 1118-nucleotide long non-coding RNA is filed under the name Homo sapiens (human). RNAcentral's name for it is "non-protein coding lnc-DTNBP1-16:7". Lineage: Eukaryota; Metazoa; Chordata; Mammalia; Primates; Hominidae. The record is from RNAcentral.